UCUCCGUAGGUGAACCUGCGGAGGGAUCAUUACAGAGUUCAUGCCCUAACGGGUAGAUCUCCCACCCUGUGUUAUCAUCACUUUGUUGCUUUGGCGGGCCGUCAGGCCUCGGCUUGGCUACCGGCUCUCGCUGGUAAGCGCCCGCCAGAGAACCCCAAACCCUGAAUAUCAGUGUCGUCUGAGUACUAUAUAAUAGUAAAAACUUUCAACAACGGAUCUCUUGGUUCUG
Molecule: unclassified non-coding RNA, 229 nt
Filed under: plant metagenome
Description: partial contains small subunit ribosomal RNA, internal transcribed spacer 1, and 5.8S ribosomal RNA
Source: RNAcentral